GUCUAUGGCUAUACCACCCUGAACAGGCUCAAUCUCUUCUGAUCUCAGAAGCUAAGCAUGGUCGGGCCUGGUUAGUACUUGGAUGGGAGAUGUAUAGCAGAUGAGGCACUACUUCUCUGGGCUGUCUCAGACC
Molecule: ribosomal RNA, 133 nt
Organism: Cricetulus griseus (Chinese hamster)
Lineage: Eukaryota; Metazoa; Chordata; Mammalia; Rodentia; Cricetidae
Source: Ensembl